This 402-nucleotide ribosomal RNA is filed under the name Crustacea environmental sample. RNAcentral describes it as "partial small subunit ribosomal RNA". It matches the Rfam family "Eukaryotic small subunit ribosomal RNA", at positions 30 to 432 of the family's 1831-position model. The record is from RNAcentral. Lineage: Eukaryota; Metazoa; Arthropoda.
GCUUGUCUCAAAGAUUAAGCCAUGCAUGUCUAAGUAUAAGCAAUUUGUACUGUGAAACUGCGAAUGGCUCAUUAAAUCAGUUAUAGUUUAUUUGAUCUUACCUUACUACUUGGAUAACCGUGGUAAUUCUAGAGCUAAUACAUGCAAAAAUGGGCGACUUCUGGAGAGAUGCUUUUAUUAGAUCAAAACCAAACGGCUUCGGCCGUCUCAUUGGUGACUCUGAAUAACUUUGGGCUGAUCGUAUGGCCUUGUGCCGACGACGUUUCCUUCGAAGGUGUGCCCUAUCAACUGUCGACUGUGAUAUAGACGCUCACAGUGGUUUUGACGGGUAACGGGGAAUCAGGGUUCGAUUCCGGAGAGGGAGCCUUAAAAACGGCUACCACAUCCAAGGAAGGCAGCAGG